This is a long non-coding RNA of Sinocyclocheilus rhinocerous, 90 nucleotides long. RefSeq lists it as uncharacterized. The record is from RefSeq and is a predicted model, not a curated record. The transcript is spliced from 3 exons. Lineage: Eukaryota; Metazoa; Chordata; Actinopteri; Cypriniformes; Cyprinidae.
CCUUCAAAUCCAAUCAAAAACAAAUCACAAACGAAACAUUUCAAAUUGUGCAGAAGCAUUGACUAAGACUAGGCCACACUGACACUUUCA